Molecule: transfer RNA, 73 nt
Filed under: Trachymyrmex cornetzi
Lineage: Eukaryota; Metazoa; Arthropoda; Insecta; Hymenoptera; Formicidae
Rfam family: tRNA
About the family: Transfer RNA (tRNA) molecules are approximately 80 nucleotides in length. Their secondary structure includes four short double-helical elements and three loops (D, anti-codon, and T loops).
Source: Rfam by way of RNAcentral
GCCUCGGUAGUCUAAAGGCUUAGGACGCUCGUAUAGAAUAUAAGAGAUCCGGGUUCAAGUCUCGGUCGAGGUA